Molecule: ribosomal RNA, 252 nt
Filed under: uncultured bacterium
Lineage: Bacteria
Description: partial 16S ribosomal RNA
Rfam family: Bacterial small subunit ribosomal RNA
Source: RNAcentral
UACGUGAGUGGCAAGCGUUAUCCGGAUUUACUGGGCAUAAAGCGCGCGCAGGCUGUGGAUUAAGCCAGAUGUAAAAUCCCGUAGCUCAACUACGGUUCGCAUUUGGAACUGGUUCACUAGAGGUCAGGAGAGGAAAGUGGAACUCACGGUGUAGCGGUGAAAUGCGUAGAUAUCGUGAGGAACACCGGUGGCGAAGGCGGCUUUCUGGACUGAUUCUGACGCUGAGGCGCGAAAGCAUGGGGAGCAAACAGG